GGGGAUGGCAUUAACAAACUCAAGGAAGGGGGAUGCUCUAAACAAACUCUUGGAAAGGGAAUGAAUUACAAAAUCUCCAUGAAAAAGAAUGACCUAAGAAGCUAAAGCAAGGGUGACGCCCUAAUGUAACUCAAGGGAGUGGGAUGGCCUAAGGAAAUUCAAGGAACAUGGAUGCACAAAACAAACUAAAGGAAGGGGAUACCCUAAUAAAACUAUAGGAAAGCGGAUGCCUUAAACAAACUCUAAGAAGGGAAAUG
This 257-nucleotide long non-coding RNA is filed under the name Vitis vinifera (wine grape). Its description in RNAcentral is "long non-coding RNA (VVIN_LNC007553)". The record is from RNAcentral. Lineage: Eukaryota; Viridiplantae; Streptophyta; Magnoliopsida; Vitales; Vitaceae.